AAUAAAUGGCUUUUGGAGUGCCUCUUGAUAUUUUCUCCCUUCCUCAAACCUCCAUCACACAUCUCUCUCUCUCUCUCUCUCUCUCCCUCUCUCUCUCUCUCUCUCUGACGUACGUCACACACUGUUCUUCAAUUUUCAAUCUUCAAUCUUCCAAAGCACACGCACACAGAUCUCACAUUUAACCUUCAAUGCUUCGUUUUCUUGUUUCCUUCUAUCAAUUCAUGGAUUCCAAUUCUCUCAUCAAAAUUUCGUUUUUCAAACCGCAUUCACGCUAAAUGGUGCUCGCUUAGCUGCUUCGUGGAUUCCGCUUUCAUGGAACGAGUUUUUGGUGUUUCUCUUGCGCCUUACAUCGGUAAAGAGCUUUUCUUCUUCUGAAUCCGUUUGAUUUCUUAGAAACCACGCGAGAAGUACAGGUUAGAGAUGUUAUUUCAUCUCUGAAGCAAUGGUAACUUUCAGUGGACACUUGCGUUUGGAUCUCAGUUCCUGAAGGAGCCUUAUAGUGUUGCUGUGGCUGGCUUAGCUGGAGAUUCACGGGCACAUGCAAAUCCUCUCCUAUGCCUAGACCAUUUGGGAGAUGGGCACCGUGCCAGUAUAUUUUAAUUUUUGGAAAAGUGACAGAUGAGGAGGAGGAGAGACAAAGUAGACAAUGGGAUCAGAACAAAGUAAUGAGGUAGCAGUUGAAAGAUAAAAAGUUCCAAUGAAAUGAUUACACAAAACUUCUGUUGUCUUCUCAAGGCUGUUAGUUGAGAGGUAAACAUGCGAAAUUUUUUCCUAUCUGGUGUCUUUUCUUUUUUUCAAGUAGCAAAGAUUUACAAGAUAGCAUGAUUUAGUGGUCACGGCCAGAAUUUAAUUCUGACCGUUAUUCCAAACCGGUGAGUAGAGGGGAAGGAUGAGAAAAAUGAAGAAGGGUAUCCUCCAAUCCAAAAAGAGCAGGUCACAGAGGCCAACAUGGUUGAGGCCGUGGAUGCUGGAGACAGUGGUGGGAGCGUCAUCAACGAUGCAGAACAGUGGCGAGGAUGGGUUUGCGGAGGUUAGGCACAUGCAUGAGAGCAGUAAACCAUGCCAUUCUUGUAAAUCUUUACUACAGUGUCCUAUCUGGGAACAAAACGAAGGAACUAUGCUAGAAUGGGAAAAAUUUCUAAACAUGCCUAAAAGACUCAUGCUAGAGCCUUGUUGGUAUUCGUUGAAUAUAGAAUGUGGGUCAUUGAGAUAAUUUUUCUAAAUCAUUGAAGUUACUAAACCUUAACAACACUAUCUUACUCUUUAACAUCAUUGUUAUUAUUUGAAUGUGGAAUGCCAUGUAUUACUCUUAUGUUGCUAAACAUUUACGUUCAUCUUUAUGAAGGUAUGUACAUGUCUAUGUUAUAUUUGAAUCAAUUAGGUUUCGCUCCAUUCCAACCA
This is a long non-coding RNA of Vigna radiata var. radiata (mung bean), 1401 nucleotides long. RefSeq lists it as uncharacterized. NCBI's taxonomy places the organism in Eukaryota, Viridiplantae, Streptophyta, Magnoliopsida, Fabales, Fabaceae. The transcript is spliced from 4 exons. The record is from RefSeq and is a predicted model, not a curated record.